This 78-nucleotide transfer RNA is filed under the name Dysgonomonas hofstadii. It matches the Rfam family "tRNA". From Rfam's summary of the family: Transfer RNA (tRNA) molecules are approximately 80 nucleotides in length. The record is from Rfam by way of RNAcentral. Lineage: Bacteria; Pseudomonadati; Bacteroidota; Bacteroidia; Bacteroidales; Dysgonomonadaceae.
GGGAGUAUAGUAUUAACUGGAUAAAAUGUCUGACUGGCGAAAGGUCAGGAGUUGGGGGUUCGAAUCCCUCUACUUCCA